GGGCCCGUAGCCUAGCUGGAUAGGGCACCGGACUUCUAAUCCGGAGAUCGCGGGUUCGAAUCCCGUCGGGUCCG
This 74-nucleotide transfer RNA is filed under the name Candidatus Altarchaeales archaeon WOR_SM1_86-2. Its description in RNAcentral is "Candidatus Altiarchaeales archaeon WOR_SM1_86-2 tRNA-Arg". It matches the Rfam family "tRNA". Rfam says of the family: Transfer RNA (tRNA) molecules are approximately 80 nucleotides in length. Their secondary structure includes four short double-helical elements and three loops (D, anti-codon, and T loops). RNAcentral also lists the same sequence under 1 other name. Lineage: Archaea; Nanobdellati; Candidatus Altarchaeota; Candidatus Altarchaeia; Candidatus Altarchaeales. The record is from RNAcentral.